This 148-nucleotide non-coding RNA is filed under the name Homo sapiens (human). Lineage: Eukaryota; Metazoa; Chordata; Mammalia; Primates; Hominidae. The record is from Rfam by way of RNAcentral.
GCUGGGUGUGGUGGCACACACCUGUAGUCCCAGCUACUUGGGAGGCUGAGAUGGGAGGAUUGCUUGAGUUUGGGAGGUCGAGGCUUCAGUGAGCCAUGGUGGCACCACUGCACUCUAGCCCAGUUGACAGAGUGAGAUCCUUUCUCAA